AUUGAACGCUGGCGGCAGGCCUAACACAUGCAAGUCGAACGAGAGGCGCACGGGGGAGUACAAUGUGGGAGACAGCCUGAUGUGGGGGGAGAACUAUUGUAAACGGGGUCUAAUAUCGCGUACACUCAGGUGUGCCCAGAUGGGGGUAGCUAGUGGGGGGGGUAACGGCUCACCUAGGCGACGAUCCCUAGCUGGUCUGAGAGGAUGACCAGCCACACGGGAACUGAGACACGGUCCAGACUCCUACGGGAGGCAGCAGUGGGGAAUAUUGCACAAUGGGCGAAAGCCUGAUGCAGCCAUGCCGCGUGUGUGAAGAAGGCCUUCGGGUUGUAAAGCACUGUCAGCGGGGAGGCGUUACUCGCAGAAGAAGCACCGGCUAACUCCGUGCCAGCAGCCGCGGUAAUAC
RNAcentral lists this ribosomal RNA (406 nucleotides) under uncultured bacterium. RNAcentral's name for it is "partial 16S ribosomal RNA". It matches the Rfam family "Bacterial small subunit ribosomal RNA", at positions 29 to 526 of the family's 1533-position model. The record is from RNAcentral.